GCAUCGAAAGCUCAGUGGCAGAGCGGUGGGGCGUUUACCCAUGCGGCCCGGGUUCGAUUCCCGGUCGACGUA
Molecule: non-coding RNA, 72 nt
Organism: Phthorimaea operculella (potato tuberworm)
Lineage: Eukaryota; Metazoa; Arthropoda; Insecta; Lepidoptera; Gelechiidae
Source: the annotation of a GenBank genome assembly